This 207-nucleotide long non-coding RNA is filed under the name Lathyrus oleraceus (garden pea). Its description in RNAcentral is "Pisum sativum (pea) long non-coding RNA (PSAT_LNC001707)". The record is from RNAcentral. Lineage: Eukaryota; Viridiplantae; Streptophyta; Magnoliopsida; Fabales; Fabaceae.
GGUUCAGGCACUUCUUGUUUUUUUUUUUCUUUUUUUUUAGCAGGACCAACCUCGAUUCCUCUCUUACUUAUAAUAAACCCCCAGCAGCUUACCGGCCCGCACUCUGAUAGUGCACUUAUUUGAAUUCAACCUCAGUUUGAAUUGUCUCAACUGGUCUACUCAGCUUGGCCAGAUCCACCAGAUGCCCCUCUUCUGUUUGGGACUUUG